CUUUCUCUAUCAGAAUGACCGAUGUCCGUUAGUGCCGGGAAAAAACUAUAGUAUCUGAAAUCUUAUUUUGUUCAUACCAAAUAACAAAUAAGG
Haliotis rubra (blacklip abalone) is the source of this 93-nucleotide long non-coding RNA. RefSeq lists it as uncharacterized. The record is from RefSeq and is a predicted model, not a curated record. The transcript has 3 exons. NCBI's taxonomy places the organism in Eukaryota, Metazoa, Mollusca, Gastropoda, Lepetellida, Haliotidae.